CAUCUUACUAGACAGUGCUGGAUAUUUUGGAUCUACUCUAACACUGUCUGGUAACGAUGUU
Molecule: microRNA precursor, 61 nt
Filed under: Alligator mississippiensis (American alligator)
Lineage: Eukaryota; Metazoa; Chordata; Crocodylia; Alligatoridae
Description: Ami-Mir-8-P2a_pre stem-loop
Rfam family: mir-8/mir-141/mir-200 microRNA precursor family
About the family: The bounds of the precursors are predicted based on conservation and base pairing and are not generally known.
Source: RNAcentral